This 235-nucleotide ribosomal RNA is filed under the name uncultured organism. RNAcentral describes it as "partial 16S ribosomal RNA". It matches the Rfam family "Bacterial small subunit ribosomal RNA", at positions 304 to 527 of the family's 1533-position model. The record is from RNAcentral.
UCGCCCGCCGCGCCCCGCGCCCGUCCCGCCGCCCCCGCCCGCUCCUACGGGAGGCAGCAGUGAGGAAUAUUGGUCGAUGGGCGGGAGCCUGAACCAGCCAAGCCGCGUGAGGGAAUAAGGCCCUACGGGUCGUAAACCUCUUUUGUCGGGGAACAAAAGCGGGGACGCGUCCCCGUCUGCGUGUACCCGAAGAAAAAGCAUCGGCUAACUCCGUGCCAGCAGCCGCGGUAAUACA